RNAcentral lists this long non-coding RNA (1898 nucleotides) under Nicotiana benthamiana. Its description in RNAcentral is "long non-coding RNA (NBEN_LNC027981)". The record is from RNAcentral. Lineage: Eukaryota; Viridiplantae; Streptophyta; Magnoliopsida; Solanales; Solanaceae.
UCAUCUUCUCCAUCUCUCAAUCUGCAACCCUAGAGCAACCUUAAGAAUUCCACCAUUUCACAAGUGAUAAACCUUCCAAACAUCACCAAAUUAACCCUAUAAUCCCCAUGAUCCUUCAGUAUGAUGCUGAUACAAAUCUCUGUAAAUUCCCCGCCCCCAAAUCUAGUCAAUCCGAAUCUAAUGGAAGGAAAAGAAGAAAAUGGUAAAACCUCUCAAGCCAUCGAGUCCCAGAGGACGAUUGGGGCUGAAAUCGCCUUUGGUGGUUUGUACUCAAUGAGAACAAUCAAUUAAGGCUGAUUUCAGUUCAAAAUCGAGAGGAUCAAGUUUAUUUCAAGCCAUGUCCGUUGGUUGUCCUCUGUAGGUACAAUCGUUGUCCUCUGCACUUGUUCUUUUCCUGUCUUUAUCUCCCUCUGCAUCUUUGUUCUUCUAUUGAUUUUGUUUUCGUCGGGUUAACUGUGGCCCAUAUGCUUGAUUAGAAUGAAAGCAUGUUUAGUCUCAUUUAAUUUAAUGCUCAUGGUAGUUUUAAGUAGUUCUUUUUCCUUAUUUUGGUUUAAUUCGAAAUUCUCUUGAUUUGCACCCCUUAUCAGCUUGAAUUUUGGGGUGGGGUUGUGGUGUAUUACUGGGAAGGAAUGUGUUACUGCUAAAUUGAUAGCCCAAUGAUGUGUGGAUUCAGGCCUAUUUUAUAAAAGCCCAGGGCUGGUUCAAUCUAUGGGGUCCGCUUGACCAAUUAGUUUUAAUAGUAAAUAUCAGGGUCUGGGAGGGUAGUUUAGGCAUUUGAGAAUUAGGGAAUCUUUCAUAACAAACUGAGAAGCUUCUAGAGUGGGUGGUAUUUGAAUUUCAUACUUUUAGGUAGUGAAACUUGGGGAACAAGUUAAGAAUCCAAGGACUCCUAAGCUAAAACAAGAAUUCAAAAGGGGGCAAAGGGGUAAAAAAAUGAAAUCUGGAGGCUGCCCUACUGCUAAGCCUAUAUAAGAUAUCAUUCUUGCCUUUCAAGGCGAGAAUUGGAGAACAAAAAUUCAGAAAGAUCCAAACGGCUGAAAAUUUAUAGAACCCAACACUAUUUCAUCGAGCUCCUUUUGAUUUCUGAGAAGCCUUCAUUUUCUGAAAUACUUUCGAGUAGCCAGAGAAUUGAAAUGGAUCAAGUAGUGUUAGUUUCUGUGUUUUAGUUUGUAGCUUUGUCAAAAUUACUGUUUCAUCGAGUUCCUCUAUGCAAUUCUCAAUCUCUGGAUCUGAAAAGGGGUUUUAAGCUAUUUGGGGCUAAGGUGAUUUGAGUUUGGUGAUCUAAAAGCUGGGUUUGAAGUUUUGUCUAUGGAGUUUUUGACUUCCGGUUGUCAAUUUCUGGGCUAAAAUUGCAUCAUAUGGUUUAUCUCUGCUGCAGAACACUGUUUCUCCUGUUGUUGAGUUUUCCCUCUUUUCUUUUUUCAUUAUUCUAGGUACUUCUUGGAUCCCUUUGACAUUGAAGUGCAUCAUGAGAAAACCUUGUAGCUGAUAGGCAUUUUGGACCUUUUGAUAGCCAUGAAUGUUAAUUAAUUGAUGUAGUCGUGUGCUAUUUUGUUUUCUUUAUAUCCUUCUAUUUUAGUUAUGCUUUUUCUUGAGUUUGAGUUGUAAAUGUGGACUAAAUUCAUAAAUUAUGGUGUUGUUUAAGUGGUCUUAAAGGUUUUGAUGUCAUAUGGGUUAACUGUGGUGCUGUAGUUGUGAAGAUUCAAUUAGGUCAGUAGAUAUGUCAAUCAUGUGGUUAAUUAGGUGAAAUUGUUUGGAUUAGUUUGCAAUUUUUAUAGCUGUACGUGCAAAUGUAUUGGUCUAAUGGAAUUGAUUUAAGUAGUUGUAUUUAGAUCUGCAUUCACAUAUCUGGAAACACGACUAAGAUGAUUCAUAAUUCAUCACUGGCUCUGCUUGGG